Transfer RNA from Hypholoma sublateritium FD-334 SS-4, 106 nucleotides. It matches the Rfam family "tRNA". Rfam says of the family: Transfer RNA (tRNA) molecules are approximately 80 nucleotides in length. Their secondary structure includes four short double-helical elements and three loops (D, anti-codon, and T loops). The record is from Rfam. NCBI's taxonomy places the organism in Eukaryota, Fungi, Basidiomycota, Agaricomycetes, Agaricales, Strophariaceae.
GCCCGCCUAGCUCAAUCGGAUAGAGCGUCAGACUUUUACGAAGGCGGGUUGAUAUCUGUUGAUUGAUGAAAUCUGAAGGCUGCGAGUUCGACCCUCGCGGUGGGCU